GUAGUCAUAUGCUUGUCUCAAAGAUUAAGCCAUGCACGUCUAAGUAUAAGCAAUUAUACAGCGAAACUGCGAAUGGCUCAUUAUAUAAGUUAUCGUUUAUUUGAUAGUACCUUACUACUUGGAUAACCGUGGUAAUUCUAGAGCUAAUACAUGCUAAAAAUCCCGACUUCGGAAGGGAUGUAUUUAUUAGAUUAAAAACCAAUGCCCUUCGGGGCUCUCUGGUGAUUCAUGAUAACUUCUCGAAUCGCACGGCCUUGCGCCGGCGAUGGCUCAUUCAAAUUUCUUCCCUAUCAACUUUCGAUGGUAGGAUAGAGGCCUACCAUGGUUUCAACGGGUAACGGGGAAU
Molecule: ribosomal RNA, 346 nt
Filed under: uncultured fungus
Lineage: Eukaryota; Fungi
Description: SSU rRNA
Rfam family: Eukaryotic small subunit ribosomal RNA
Source: RNAcentral